This 236-nucleotide unclassified non-coding RNA is filed under the name Hevea brasiliensis (rubber tree). The record is from RNAcentral. Lineage: Eukaryota; Viridiplantae; Streptophyta; Magnoliopsida; Malpighiales; Euphorbiaceae.
GUCGCAAGUAGAGGAGGAUUGGGUGUAUCCCCAAUUUUGGGAAAUGCAGGUCCUCGGAUCACAAGUUCAAUGGGAAAUAUGGUCAGUGGAGGCAACAUAGGAAGGAGUAUAACUGCAGGUGGGGGAUUGUCAUUACCUGGUCUUGCUUCUCGUCUAAACCUCAGUGCCAAUAGUGGAUCUGGAAGCUUAACUGUGCAAGGACAAAACCGUCUAAUGAGUGGUGUGCUACCACAAGC